GGUUAAAAAGCUCGUAGUUGGAUCUCGGCAAGUAGAGGGCGGUAUGCUUCGUAGCAUUACUGCCCUAUUACUUGUAGUUUUGCCAGAGGUUCCUGGGUGCUCUUAAUCGAGUGUCUAGGGAUGCUGGCAGGUUUACUUUGAAAAAAUUAGAGUGCUCAAAGCAGGCUAUUACGCUUGAAUAUUCGUGCAUGGAAUAAUAGAAUAGGAAGUCGUUUCUAUUUUGUUGGUUCUCGGAAAUCGACUUAAUGAUUAAUAGGGACAGUCGGGGGCAUUUGUAUCCAAACGACAGAGGUGAAAUUCUUGGACCGUUUGAAGACAAACUACUGCGAAAGCAUUUGCCAAGAAUGUUUUCAUUAAUCAAGAACGAAAGUUAGAGGUUCGAAGGCGAUUAGAUACCGCCCUAGUUCUAACCAUAAACGAUGCCAGCUAGCGAUCUGAGGACGUUUUUUUUGUAGACUCCUCAGGAAGCUUCCGGGAAACCAAAGCGUGUGGGUUCCGGGGGAAGUAUGGUUGCAAAGCUGAAACUUAAAGGAAUUGACGGAAGGGCACCACCAGGAGUGGAGCCUGCGGCUUAAUUUGACUCAACACGGGAAAUCUCACCAGGCCCGGACACUGGAAGGAUUGACAGAUGAGAGCUCUUUCUCGAUUCGGUGGGUGGUGGUGCAU
This 666-nucleotide ribosomal RNA is filed under the name uncultured marine eukaryote. RNAcentral describes it as "SSU rRNA". It matches the Rfam family "Eukaryotic small subunit ribosomal RNA", at positions 617 to 1285 of the family's 1831-position model. The record is from RNAcentral.